RNAcentral lists this long non-coding RNA (302 nucleotides) under Homo sapiens (human). Its description in RNAcentral is "non-protein coding lnc-PEX14-2:1". The record is from RNAcentral. Lineage: Eukaryota; Metazoa; Chordata; Mammalia; Primates; Hominidae.
CACAAGGUCACCUGGUUAGUAAAUGGUAGAGCCAGGAUCCAGACCUCAACAGCUGGACUGCAGCCUGCAGCACUGAGCUCCCUGCCAGGCUGCAUUUCAGUUGCUGUCUGUCCAUGAGUUAGUUGAGAACUGGGCCCAUGUCUCAUUCAUCUAUUUUUUUUUUUUUUUGAGACAGAGUCUCGUUCUGUCGCCCAGGCUGGAGUGCAGUGGCACAAUCUCAGCUCACUGCAACCUCCACCUCCCAGGUUCAAGCAAUUCUCCCGCCUCAGCCUCCCAAGUAUCUGGGAUUACAGGUGCCUGCC